Molecule: non-coding RNA, 21 nt
Filed under: Arabidopsis thaliana (thale cress)
Lineage: Eukaryota; Viridiplantae; Streptophyta; Magnoliopsida; Brassicales; Brassicaceae
Source: RNAcentral
GAAGGUUUCAUGUGAUUCUUU